RNAcentral lists this ribosomal RNA (492 nucleotides) under uncultured bacterium. RNAcentral describes it as "bacterial SSU rRNA". It matches the Rfam family "Bacterial small subunit ribosomal RNA", at positions 28 to 507 of the family's 1533-position model. The record is from RNAcentral.
GAUGAACGCUAGCGGCAGGCUUAACACAUGCAAGUCGAGGGGCAGCAUGAGACGGAGAUUCGUCGAAGUCUUGAUGGCGACCGGCGCAAGGGUGCGUAACGCGUGAGCAACUUGCCCGUUUCAGGGGGAUAACCGGUGGAAACGCCGACUAAUACCCCAUAGCAUCAGUUUGAGGCAUCUCUUACUGAUUAAAGAGUUUCGGAAACGGAUAGGCUCGCGUGACAUUAGCUAGAUGGCGGGGUAACGGCCCACCAUGGCGACGAUGUCUAGGGGUUCUGAGAGGAAGGUCCCCCACACUGGAACUGAGACACGGUCCAGACUCCUACGGGAGGCAGCAGUGAGGAAUAUUGGUCAAUGGCCGAGAGGCUGAACCAGCCAUGCCGCGUGAAGGUCACGGCCCUAUGGGUCUUAAACUUCUUUUGUAAGGGAGCAAUAAGGUCUACGUGUAGACUGAUGAGAGUACCUUACGAAUAAGCAUCGGCUAACUCCGUG